UACUAUAGCUAUGGUGUAGCUUCCAUCCAAAUGAGUCGCUGUUUGUCUAUUUGUAAAUUACUUUUUGGACAGGUCCGGUGCCCGGUGUGUUCCAGAUAUUAACCUUUGGGGAACGCUGGACCGAGACGCCUCAGAUGCAAGAAGGGCUGGGAAUGCUAUGGCAGAUGCGACGGUAGAUGGGCAGCGGUGCAUGAGCAGCCCACCUCUGGCCAGGUCAGAGGACCCACUCGCCUACUGGCUAAAUCACAGACAUCGUUACACCAACCUUUUCAAGCGGGCCAAAAGAUUUCUAUGCAUGCCAGCAUCUACUGUACCCUGCAGAAGAAUAUUCUCCAAAUGUGGAGAAAUUGUGAGCAAAAAAGAAACUGGUUAAAUCCCAAUACUGUGGAAAAAAUAACGUACCUCAAUAAAAACGUUGAGUCCACAGUUACACAAGAAUACCCAAGCUAUGGCAUAUUUUACCAGCAUUUUCUCCUUAACAAAACAAAGCUCACGUGUGCGCCUCCCGGUCACCAAUCGCGGCUCCAACCCUGCAGUGCAGGGCUCGCGGGUCGCCAGGAGAGGGCGCUAGAACUGCAACUUCAGCCACAGUGGCAUUUCCCCAGCCUGUUCCUGGAGCGCACACACAGGCUGGGAGGGGCUGCUUCCUGCUUCACUCCCAUCGUGUGA
This 669-nucleotide long non-coding RNA is filed under the name Takifugu rubripes (torafugu). Its description in RNAcentral is "lncRNA (ENSTRUG00000027291.1)". The record is from RNAcentral. Lineage: Eukaryota; Metazoa; Chordata; Actinopteri; Tetraodontiformes; Tetraodontidae.